AACGCACAUUGCGCCCGCCAGCAUUCUGGCGGGCAUGCCUGUCCGAGCGUCAUUUCAACCCUCGAGCCCCCCGGGCUUGGUGUUGGGGACCGGCCGCGCGCCGCCCCCGAAAUGCAGUGGCGACCUCGCCGCAGCCUCCCCUGCGUAGUAGCACAACCUCGCACCGGAGCGCGGAGACGGUCACGCCGUGAAACGCCCAACUUUUCUCAGGAGUUGACCUCGGAUCAGGUAGGAAUACCCGCUGAACUUAA
Molecule: unclassified non-coding RNA, 251 nt
Filed under: uncultured fungus
Lineage: Eukaryota; Fungi
Description: partial contains 5.8S ribosomal RNA, internal transcribed spacer 2, and large subunit ribosomal RNA
Source: RNAcentral